CACGUAGGGCGCGAGCGUUGUCCGGAAUUAUUGGGCGUAAAGAGCUCGUAGGCGGCCUGUUGCGUCCGCUGUGAAAGCCCGGGGCUCAACCCCGAGCCUGCAGUCGAUACGGGCAAACUAGAGUGUGGUAGGGGAGACUGGAAUUCCUGGUGUAGCGGUGAAAUGCGCAGAUAUCAGGAGGAACACCGGCGGCGAAGGCGGGUCUCUGGGCCGAUACUGACGCUGAGGAGCGAAAGCAUGGGUAGCGAACAGG
RNAcentral lists this ribosomal RNA (253 nucleotides) under uncultured bacterium. RNAcentral describes it as "partial 16S ribosomal RNA". It matches the Rfam family "Bacterial small subunit ribosomal RNA", at positions 524 to 776 of the family's 1533-position model. The record is from RNAcentral.